CUCAGGAUAAACGCUGGCGGCGUGCCUUAUGCAUGCAAGUCGAACGGAUUUCCGCAAGGGGAUCAGUGGCAAACGGGUGAGUAACGCGUAAGUAACCUACCGUUCUGUGGGGAAUAACUGCUCGAAAGAGCGGCUAAUACCGCAUACGCUCCUUAUCGUAAGGGUAAGGAGGAAAGCCGCAAGGCGCGGGACGAGGGGCUUGCGUCCGAUUAGCUCGUUGGUGGGGUAACGGCCUACCAAGGCGAUGAUCGGUAGCUGGUCUGAGAGGAUGAUCAGCCACACUGGGACUGAGAGACGGCCCAGACUCCUACGGGAGGCAGCAGCAAGGAAUUUUGGGCAAUGGGGGCAACCCUGACCCAGCAACGCCGCGUGGACGAUGAAGGCUUUCGGGUCGUAAAGUCCUUUUGUGGGGGACGAUAAUGACGGUACCCCACGAAAAAGCCCCGGCUA
This 450-nucleotide ribosomal RNA is filed under the name uncultured bacterium. RNAcentral's name for it is "bacterial SSU rRNA". It matches the Rfam family "Bacterial small subunit ribosomal RNA", at positions 23 to 499 of the family's 1533-position model. The record is from RNAcentral.